RNAcentral lists this ribosomal RNA (309 nucleotides) under uncultured bacterium. RNAcentral's name for it is "partial 16S ribosomal RNA". It matches the Rfam family "Bacterial small subunit ribosomal RNA", at positions 504 to 807 of the family's 1533-position model. The record is from RNAcentral.
AGAGACAGCAGCCGCCACGGUAAUACGGAGGGUGCAAGCGUUAUCCGGAUUUAUUGGGUUUAAAGGGUCCGUAGGCGGACUUAUAAGUCAGUGGUGAAAGCCUGUCGCUUAACGAUAGAACUGCCAUUGAUACUGUAAGUCUUGAGUAUAUUUGAGGUAGCUGGAAUAAGUAGUGUAGCGGUGAAAUGCAUAGAUAUUACUUAGAACACCAAUUGCGAAGGCAGGUUACCAAGAUAUAACUGACGCUGAGGGACGAAAGCGUGGGUAGCGAACAGGAUUAGAUACCCCGGUAGUCCCUGUCUCUUAUAC